RNAcentral lists this transfer RNA (69 nucleotides) under Ictidomys tridecemlineatus (thirteen-lined ground squirrel). RNAcentral's name for it is "Spermophilus tridecemlineatus (thirteen-lined ground squirrel) tRNA". It matches the Rfam family "tRNA". Rfam says of the family: Transfer RNA (tRNA) molecules are approximately 80 nucleotides in length. The record is from Rfam by way of RNAcentral. Lineage: Eukaryota; Metazoa; Chordata; Mammalia; Rodentia; Sciuridae.
GGGGUUGUGGCUCAGAGGUAGAUCACUUGCCUGCCAAGCGUGAGGUCCUGGGUUCAAUCCUCAGCACCA